Molecule: ribosomal RNA, 253 nt
Filed under: uncultured bacterium
Lineage: Bacteria
Description: partial 16S ribosomal RNA
Rfam family: Bacterial small subunit ribosomal RNA
Source: RNAcentral
UACGUAGGGUGCGAGCGUUGCCCGGAUUUAUUGGGCGUAAAGGGCGCGUAGGCGGCUCGGCACGUCCGUUGUGAAAUCGCCCGGCUCAACUGGGCGGGGUCGGCGGAUACGGCCGAGCUGGAGCAAGCUAGGGGGUAAUGGAAUUCCCGGUGUAGUGGUGGAAUGCGUAGAUAUCGGGAGAAACACCAGUGGCGAAGGCGGUUACCUGGAGCUUUGCUGACGCUGAUGCGCGAAAGCGUGGGUAGCAAACAGG